This 433-nucleotide ribosomal RNA is filed under the name Pseudovermis paradoxus. RNAcentral's name for it is "partial large subunit ribosomal RNA". It matches the Rfam family "Bacterial large subunit ribosomal RNA", at positions 1832 to 2598 of the family's 2925-position model. The record is from RNAcentral. Lineage: Eukaryota; Metazoa; Mollusca; Gastropoda; Nudibranchia; Pseudovermidae.
AGCCAUUAGAAAUUAUUAUUGGUUUUACCUGCCCGGUGCUAGGUUAACGGCCGCGGUAUUUUGACCGUGCUAAGGUAGCGUAAUCAGUUGGCUUUUAAUUGGAGUCAGGUAUGAAUGGAUAAACAAAGCUUAGCUGUCUCUUUUCUAUUUAAUUGAAUUUACUGUUUGAGUGAAAAAGCUCAUGUAACAAAGGGGGACGAGAAGACCCUUAGAGCUCUAUAAAAUACAAAUGAUGUUUGUUGUUACUUUGUUGGGGCGACAAGAGGACAACUAUAACUCCUAUCUUUUUACAUGCCGAUAUUGUUAUGUUGGAAUGAGCUACCUGAGGGAUAACAGCAUUAUUCUAUAAGUGAGUUUGUGACCUCGAUGUUGGACUAGGAAACUAACAGGCUAGCCGUUUGUUGUGUUGGUUCUGUUCGAACCUAAAUUCCUA